GGGGACGUGGCGCAACUGGGAGCGCACCACCUUUGCAAGGUGGGGGUUGCGGGUUCGAGUCCCGUCGUCUCCA
RNAcentral lists this transfer RNA (73 nucleotides) under Acidimicrobiia bacterium. Its description in RNAcentral is "tRNA-Ala". It matches the Rfam family "tRNA". Rfam says of the family: Transfer RNA (tRNA) molecules are approximately 80 nucleotides in length. Their secondary structure includes four short double-helical elements and three loops (D, anti-codon, and T loops). Lineage: Bacteria; Bacillati; Actinomycetota; Acidimicrobiia. The record is from RNAcentral.